UUUUUUUUUUUUUUUUUUUUUUUUUUUUUUUUGUGAGGUGAUGCUAUUCUGAAGAGGGAUUUGCUCCAUCAAUGGACAUCCCAGGGACCAGGAGCUCGGGAAAGAUGCUUCCUGCAACCCCUCCAAGUACCUCACAAGGAUGCUUGCAGAGCAAAAAUAAGUUGUCCUGAAUUAAAUUAAUUUCAAAGCUUGCACCAGGAUAGCGGAGCUACCUGACAAGUCAGGUCAGCAAGGACUUCUCACAAAACAGAAGCCAGUUCAUUAAAGUUGGUCAUUCAUUAGUGUGAUAAAGUAAUUAAAGUCUCCUGAUUACUUUCUCCCCCUGCUGCUCCAUCUCUACUACAAACAUGAAGGCUUUGGUAUAGAUGGAGCUGUUGACACUUUGUCAGUGAAAAUUCAGAACUGUGCAAGUAAAAGAAAUGGUUUUUUUGGGGACUAUAAAUAGUUUUGCAUUAAAGCAAAUGUAUUCUCCUUCCUAAAAUAGAUUCACCUUGCAAACAGCUUAAGAACAGUUGCAGCGCCAGAAGAAUUCCUUCAACUCCCCCCAGGAGACAGAAACAGCCGGUUUUCCCCUGAAAGAGCAAACGACAGCAGAGGAGAUUCCUCUACUGCCACCCCCCUCUUUCUGUUCCCUACUGCCGGGCAGCAUCCCUCUGUGCUGGGGUGUCAGCCUGAGAGACCACACAGCGUCUUUCGACUAGAAAAGGAUGUUAAUUCAUCCAGCUAACUUUUCCAAUCAUUUUUACUAACCGCUUGCAACAUGCACGCUCAUUAUGUGGGCGAAAUGGAUGAGGAAACUUUGGGGAGGGGGAACCGCGACUUCCCACGAUCGCUCUGAGCAGUGGGUUGCUUCUCCUUUGCUCCAAAGGGAAUGAUGCAUUCAGACAAUGCAAACAUCCUCUCUGCCAGGGCUGCAAUGUGAUAACAGCACUCUCCCCUUGCUGCCAGACCAUAAUUUCAUUCCCUGUGGAGAAUCACGGGUGGCGGUGCUGGGGAAGACGAGGAGAUGUUAGAAGAGAAAAUAUAUUUUUAACUCACCUUGAGGCUGUGUGUUGGGUUGACGACGCAGACAAGUUGCCCGGCAGCUGAGAAAACCCUCUUUGCCUUGUAGUGCUGAAACCGCAGGUGAAUAAGAUCUAACACAGCCCCAAAGCACUGGGUGAAGAAAAGCAUCACAACUUUUGGUGUUGCUGCUGCUACUGCUGUUCCUGCUGCUGCUGCUGCUGCUGCUGCUGGCAGGGGAAGCAGCCGGGGAGCUCUGGAGUCCUUGAGCCGGGGCUGGGAGUGUAGUCGGUGAGAGCUGCUCUCCGGCACAGCUUAGCAUGCCUUCAUAUUCAUCAUCAAAAUAAGACGGGAAGAGGCUUGCAGCAGCGGGGCGGCCAAUGGAAAGGACAGGAAUGUUAUCCUUGAGGUCCGGAGACAGCCAAUAACAAAUGCCUCCCCUCCAGAAACUCCCUGAUGAAUUGAGCCUGGUGGAGAAUGUAUUAUUGAACAUUACCAUACAUCAGCACAUUGCAUUUAUCUUGUGAUUACAGCCAGUCAUAUGUAAGGCUGUGGAGAUAUGCAGGCAAAAUUGAUUGCUUAACAUCUCCAUUUAUUAAUUGCCUUAAUUUAACAAAGGAGUGCUCAGACAGCAAAGCUAAAUGCAAGGCGCAGGGAAGAACCCCUCCAGUGAAACUGUUGGAAAGUAGCAAAAAUAGGUUAAGCAGACUAUGUUUUACUGAGGGAGAAAAAUCAAAUAUGCAAAGAGAGUUACAGAUCCUUGCAGGGGUUAAGCAGAAGUAGAGCUCGCUACAUAAAUAGAUUCUCGUCUGUGCAUUCACAGGCUUCAAUUUGGAUUUUCAUUGCUCUGAAGUUUUCUAAAUUUUAUAUGCUGCUACUUCACAAGAGUCCCAGCACACAAAUAACAUUUUCUCCAUCAUUGAAAAUAGGAGAGGUCAGGUCUCAGGUCUGGUGUAACUUGGAAUAACUCCAUUUAGAGACAGCAAUGUUUUCCUGAUUUACACUUGCUGGUGGAUCAGGUCUGUUGGACACAAAACAUGGUAAUUACUGGAUGCUGGAACUAUGGGAGCAUAAAAAAGCACAGAGCAUGCUUCUAAAAAUAAUGAAAUACGUGAUGCAUGAGAGCACACACACACACAGAGAAACUUGCACUGAGGGAAAAGUGGCUUUUAAAUCAACAGAAUAAUUAAACAUGCAGAAGGCUUUUCCUUGUCAUUCAUCUGCAUAUCAGUGAGCAGGAAAUUACAAAUUAGCCAUUAAAUAGUCCUAGGCAUUAAAAAGGAAUUAGGGAAGUGCAACGAAAAUAAACAUGCUUUUAGGUAUUAUUACCAGUGCGUAUCUCUGUUGGUGGGCAGGGAUCCUUCUCGAGCCAUUGAGUCUCAUUAAACUUGAGUCCCUGUAACCAGUUUUUCUGGGAGGUGACUAAGCUGAAGCAGCUGAGGGAAUCAGAAAGCACAUUAAUUUCAUGGGACAAUCCUGUGUGAUAUGUUGCUCUGCUUGUUAAUAAAUCAAAGAGAGUUAAUUUAAUUAGUUCUCUGCCAGAACUUCCUAUCAGGGUACUAUUUAGGCUUGCUAGCUAAGUACUCAGAUGGCUUAUUUAGCCUGGGUAAUCCUUUUCCCCUUCAAAGCGGAACAGAGGGAAGUAGCUUUUAUUUCAUUCUUUUUUCUUCAUUUUAAAAGUGAGCCCCAUGCUGGGGGUGAAGCUGCUGCUGCGGACAGAGCAGCCCCCAUACAGCACGGGAAUUAGCCUGGGACUGUAUUGUCACAACUGCCUCUUCCUAAAUCAAUACCACAAUCCUGCCUCUGCCAGACUGCAGAGACGAUGUGCAUGAAAAAAAAAAAAA
RNAcentral lists this long non-coding RNA (2846 nucleotides) under Taeniopygia guttata (zebra finch). Its description in RNAcentral is "lncRNA (ENSTGUG00000022290.1)". Lineage: Eukaryota; Metazoa; Chordata; Aves; Passeriformes; Estrildidae. The record is from RNAcentral.